CGGUGUUCAACUGGCGUGUCCGCGGGACGUCCUGCCGGUGGGCUUAGCCCGCAAGGGCGGCCCAACUUCAAAUCCCAUCGCGGUGCUCUUCACUGAGUGUCGAGAUGGGCCGGCACGUUUACUUUGAACAAAUUAGAGUGCUUAAAGCAGGCUAAAACUUCGCCUGAAUACUGUGUGCAUGGAAUAAUGGAAUAGGACCUCGGUUCUAUUUUGUUGGUUUUCGGAACCCCGAGGUAAUGAUUAAUAGGAACGGAUGGGGGCAUUCGUAUUGCGACGUUAGAGGUGAAAUUCUUGGAUCGUCGCAAGACGGACAGAAGCGAAAGCAUUUGCCAAAAACGCUUUCAUUGAUCAAGAACGAAAGUUAGAGGUUCGAAGGCGAUCAGAUACCGCCCUAGUUCUAACCAUAAACGAUGCCAGCUAGCGAUCCGUCGACGUUCCUCCGAUGACUCGACGGGCAGCUUCCGGGAAACCAAAGCUUUUGGGUUCCGGGGGAAGUAUGGUUGCAAAGCUGAAACUUAAAGGAAUUGACGGAAGGGCACCACCAGGAGUGGAGCCUGCGGCUUAAUUUGACUCAACACGGGAAACCUCACCAGGCCCGGACACCGGAAGGAUUGACAGAUUGAGAGCUCUUUCUUGAUUCGGUGGGUGGUGGUGCAUGGCCGUUCUUAGUUGGUGGAGCGAUUUGUCUGGUUAAUUCCGAUAACGAACGAGACUCUAGCCUGCUAACUAGGCGUAUUUUCGACAUCUCAAAGGUCCGUCGUCCCGGCCCUCGGGUCGUGGGCGUGCGCGAUUUUUACUGUCGGCGUACUAUCAAUUCUUCUUAGAGGGACAGGUGGCUUCUAGCCGCACGAGGUUGAGCAAUAACAGGUCUGUGAUG
RNAcentral lists this ribosomal RNA (877 nucleotides) under uncultured eukaryote. RNAcentral describes it as "SSU rRNA". It matches the Rfam family "Eukaryotic small subunit ribosomal RNA", at positions 636 to 1469 of the family's 1831-position model. The record is from RNAcentral.